RNA transcript from Xenia sp. Carnegie-2017, 2019 nucleotides. RefSeq lists it as uncharacterized. The transcript is spliced from 6 exons. NCBI's taxonomy places the organism in Eukaryota, Metazoa, Cnidaria, Anthozoa, Malacalcyonacea, Xeniidae. The record is from RefSeq and is a predicted model, not a curated record.
AUAUAAAGUUUAAUAAAGGUAAAUUUAAACUUCACGACGGAGAUGGUUAUUCGUUAUGGCAUUUAAAGUUUAUGAAGAAAUAAUCAUUAAUGAAGUUUGAUGAAAUGAAAAAAUGGCAACGUUGUUAAAUGAUGAUGAAAAACGAUGGUGUGUUUAUGGAAUCGUACUUAAUCAUGUUUUGAUACCAGCUGUUCGACCUUACCUGGAAAAUAAUAUUUUAAAUGAGUAUGAUGAAUUAAAGAAAUCUCAUAAUAUUAAUGUUCAAAAGAUUCACAACUUUCCUUCAUCAAAAUAUUCCCACAAUCUACAUUAUAAAAAUAUCAACAAUAAUGAAGCAAAGGAUAAGAAGAAAUUCAACUAUGAAGUUAAGUCACAUGUCGACUUUGGAAAACUUUUCCUUCUAAGUCACAUGACAAAGUUUAACAGUUACGACAGUUGUGACGCAUCAGCAGUGCUUAAUUUACUAGAAAGGAUCCCAAUUUUUUCCAACCUGGUCCAGAAUGUGGCAAAAAUUGUUAGAGACGAUAGAAAUUCUUGGGGUCACUGCAAUUUUGAGGAAUGGAACGAAACAGAUUUUCAAAAGAAAAUCGACAAUAUGAAGAUACUUGUGAAAGAAUUGUGUUUAGCAACUGAAGAUGAAGUUUUGAAUGAUAUAAAUCAUUGGAAAGAUCAAGCUUUGACAUUGUGGACAAACGAUCGUACUUUAUGUGAAGAGUUAAAAGAUCACAUUAACAGACUUCUAAAAGAAGUUGAAGAAACGAAAUUUGAAAACGAAGAGUCCAAAAAGUUAGCGCAAGAUACGCUUGACAAAUUUUCGAAUUGCAUUGAUCAGUUAAAAAGACGUGUUGAGAAAGUUGAAGACAAAGUUGAGAAAGUUGAAGACAAAGUUGAGAAAGUUAAAGACACAGUUGAUCAACUUAAUCAAAGCAAUAUUAAUGAUUUCGCCAUUUGUGACCGCGAUAUCAAUUUACACUACCAAAAAUUUGAUCCAAAACAAGAAAAUGGUUGAUCAACGAUUUCUCUGCUUGGUUCGAUGAACCUGGAGAAUCAAGAGCUUUUGUAUUUAUGGGAGAUGCUGGAGUUGGUAAAACAGUUAUGUCAGCUGCUAUCGCUCAACGCGCUAAGGAUGAUGGGAAGUUAGGAGCAACAUUCUUUUGUAGACAUUAUGAUGGUACACGUCGUGAUCCAAGAUCUCUCCUGGCCAGUGUUGCUUAUCAGUUAGACUCGUCCUUGAUUCUAUUUUGCACCAAUAACAAGGAUUCUUGUCGUCAAAAAAUUUACGUCUGGUUUGUGAAAGACAAAGUUUUAAGGCCUUUUUUUUCUGAAAAUGAUUGGAUAGAAGUAGACACUUGUUGUUCUUCCAGGUAUAACAGCAUAAUCAUCUUGUGUAGAGGAACAUCAAUUUGGAUAUACGACUAUGACUAUGAUAAAAAUAUAGCCAGUGAACCAACCACGCGUUCAUUUCAAUCAGGUAGUAAACACGAGAAGUGUAGCCAUUGUAUUCUGUCGUCUGACGACAAAAUGUUAGCUUGUUGUGUAGAAAAUAAAAUAAUUUUUUAUGAGUUGCUAAAUGCUCCUGAAAAAGCAUCUCAAUUUAAGCAUUCAUGCAUGGUUAAGUGUUGCUAUUUUAUGGGAGGAAACAAAUAUGUUUUGUUUCAAGAUAUUGCAGGUUACAUGUUCAUGUUUGAUCUGACUCAAUGGAAACUUGUAACAUCCUUUAAAGCUGAAGCUUCAGUUAAAAUUUUUAAACUUACUGAUUACAAAAUAACUUGUAUUCAACCAAAUGGUAAAAUCAAUGUUCUCGCUAUUGACGGUUUAAACGAUUGGUCAGGCAAGGUACAAUCUACCUUAUAAUUUGGAUGUGACGACUUUGCAUUAUCUAUAAUCAAUUACAGUGAUGAUGAUGACGAUUAUUGCGAUUAUAGUGAAUUUUGGCAAUCUGAAAGUAAUGAAAGUGAUGAUGAAAUGGUUUAACAAUGUAGCUUGUAAUUUAUGUGUGUUGUUAAUUUCACUAAUAGU